GGAAAGCGUCCGGUUGGUCGAGGAGCGCCGUUGGAAGCGGCGUACGCGGUGACACGCCGCGGCGGGGUUCGAAUCCCCGGCUUUCCGCCA
This 90-nucleotide transfer RNA is filed under the name Actinomadura madurae. RNAcentral's name for it is "tRNA-Ser". Lineage: Bacteria; Bacillati; Actinomycetota; Actinomycetes; Streptosporangiales; Thermomonosporaceae. The record is from RNAcentral.